ACGUCCCUCGCGGGAGAGACCGCGCCUGACGCACCCCGGCAUGCCGGGAGGUGACGGGUGUGGCGCCGAAGGAGCAACCGCCCCGGAAACUCUCAGGCAAAGAGGACCGCAUGGGGACG
Molecule: non-coding RNA, 119 nt
Filed under: Pseudoxanthobacter soli
Lineage: Bacteria; Pseudomonadati; Pseudomonadota; Alphaproteobacteria; Hyphomicrobiales; Segnochrobactraceae
Also listed under: 1 other name
Description: Glycine sequence
Rfam family: Glycine riboswitch aptamer
About the family: This family represents the bacterial glycine riboswitch.
Source: RNAcentral